This 397-nucleotide ribosomal RNA is filed under the name uncultured bacterium. RNAcentral describes it as "partial 16S ribosomal RNA". It matches the Rfam family "Bacterial small subunit ribosomal RNA", at positions 523 to 918 of the family's 1533-position model. The record is from RNAcentral.
AUACGUAGGGGGCGAGCGUUGUCCGGAAUGAUUGGGCGUAAAGGGCGCGUAGGCGGCCCGGUAAGUCUGGAGUGAAAGUCCUGUUUUUAAGAUGGGAAUUGCUUUGGAUACUGUCGGGCUUGAGUGCAGGAGAGGUAAGUGGAAUUCCCAGUGUAGCGGUGAAAUGCGUAGAGAUUGGGAGGAACACCAGUGGCGAAGGCGACUUACUGGACUGUAACUGACGCUGAGGCGCGAAAGUGUGGGGAGCAAACAGGAUUAGAUACCCUGGUAGUCCACUCUGUAAACGAUGAAUGCUAGGUGUAGGGGGUAUCGACCCCUUCUGUGCCGCAGUCAACACAAUAAGCAUUCCGCCUGGGGAGUACGGCCGCAAGGUUGAAACUCAAAUGAAUUGGCGGGG